AUCAGAUGAAGACCUCCUAACUUUAUUUGAUAGAAAUCCUAAACUUUUUCAUAAUAAUCUCCUGAAAGCCAUCGAAAGGUGGCUUUUUU
Molecule: small RNA, 89 nt
Organism: Streptococcus intermedius B196
Lineage: Bacteria; Bacillati; Bacillota; Bacilli; Lactobacillales; Streptococcaceae
Rfam family: Cia-dependent small RNA csRNA1
Source: Rfam